This is a long non-coding RNA of Cercocebus atys (sooty mangabey), 577 nucleotides long. RefSeq lists it as uncharacterized. The record is from RefSeq and is a predicted model, not a curated record. The transcript has 4 exons. NCBI's taxonomy places the organism in Eukaryota, Metazoa, Chordata, Mammalia, Primates, Cercopithecidae.
GAGAGGUCUCGGAGCCCCAGGGCCAGGGCCAGAGGAAGCCACCACCACCCCCAAAUCCCGGCCCACGGAGCUCCCCCUGAAGCCACAGAAUUACAAUAUGGGAGAAAAGUACCUUGACAUUCAUCUUCAAGGGAAUGGUGACACUACCCGACACCCCCGUUGUGACGUACGGUGCUGCAUACUCCCCAGUGACCAGCCCUUCUAAAUUCCAGACCGCUCAAAGGGUGAAAAGCCACAUGUCAGGAGUGACCAGGGAGCAGAUCCUGAACGUACAAGAAACAGCUGAAAGCUCAUGGACAGCUCAUACUGAUCUCUUUUGCCAUCUGAGCCCUAGCUUUCUUUGAAGACCACUCUCUAUUUAAUAAAUGGUGCUGGGAGAACUGGCUAGCCAUAGUCAGAAGAAUAAAAUUGGACCCCUACCUUUAACCAUAUACACAAGUAAGUUCAAGAAGGAUUAAUGACAUAAUGUAGGGCCUCGAAUUAUAAAAAUCCCAGAGAAUAACUCUUCUCGAUAUUUGCCCUGGCAAAUAAUUUUUGGCUAAAUCCCCAAAAGCAAUUGCAACAAGAACAAAAAAUG